UUGGCGGGCUAGAUGGUCGCUGCUGGCCCAGCCAGGAGAGGAAAGUCCGGGCUUCGCAGAGCAGAGCGGUCGGUAACGCCGACCAAUCGCAAGAUUAGGGAAAGUGCCGCAGAAAGCAAACCGCCGAACGGACUGCGCCGCAGUUGCGUGGUAAGGGUGAAACGGUGAGGUAAGAGCUCACCAGCAGGCGAGGUGACUCGUUUGGCUCGGUAAACCCCACUCGGAGCAAGACCAAACAGGGGGGAGCGGUCGGC
RNAcentral lists this RNase P RNA (254 nucleotides) under Planctomycetales bacterium. Its description in RNAcentral is "partial RNase P RNA component class A". It matches the Rfam family "Bacterial RNase P class A", at positions 1 to 250 of the family's 367-position model. Rfam says of the family: Ribonuclease P (RNase P) is a ubiquitous endoribonuclease, found in archaea, bacteria and eukarya as well as chloroplasts and mitochondria. The record is from RNAcentral. Lineage: Bacteria; Pseudomonadati; Planctomycetota; Planctomycetia; Planctomycetales.